GAGGGAUCAUUACACAAAUAUGAAGGCGGGCUGGAACCUCUCGGGGUUACAGCCUUGCUGAAUUAUUCACCCUUGUCUUUUGCGUACUUCUUGUUUCCUUGGUGGGUUCGCCCACCACUAGGACAAACAUAAACCUUUUGUAAUUGCAAUCAGCGUCAGUAACAAAUUAAUAAUUACAACUUUCAACAACGGAUCUCUUGGUUCUGGCAUCGAUGAAGAACGCAGCGAAAUGCGAUAAGUAGUGUGAAUUGCAGAAUUCAGUGAAUCAUCGAAUCUUUGAACGCACAUUGCGCCCUUUGGUAUUCCAAAGGGCAUGCCUGUUCGAGCGUCAUUUGUACCCUCAAGCUUUGCUUGGUGUUGGGCGUCUUGUCUCUAGCUUUGCUGGAGACUCGCCUUAAAGUAAUUGGCAGCCGGCCUACUGGUUUCGGAGCGCAGCACAAGUCGCACUCUCUAUCAGCAAAGGUCUAGCAUCCAUUAAGCCUUUUUUUCAACUUUUGACCUCGGAUCAGGUAGGGAUACCCGCUGAACUUAAGCAU
This 536-nucleotide ribosomal RNA is filed under the name Alternaria sp. PHY-28. RNAcentral's name for it is "eukaryotic LSU rRNA". The stretch from base 178 to 331 matches the Rfam family "5.8S ribosomal RNA". Lineage: Eukaryota; Fungi; Ascomycota; Dothideomycetes; Pleosporales; Pleosporaceae. The record is from RNAcentral.